UCUUACCUGCCGGUGCCGGGGAGGUCGCAGGGCAAGCUUUUGUUGGCAGGCUCGACACAUACGUAGGGGUUUUAUAGAUGAAAAUAGCCGGGUGUCUAGGUGUUCCUUUGGUUUUGAGGGGUGUUUAAACUAGACUAGUAAAGUUUUAGGGUGUGGGGAGAAGGUUUUAGCGCAGCAGUGUGGUUCUUCGAGAGCCUUAAAGCUAGAGAGGAGGGUAAAAAGGACAGUAGCCCGCGCGUCUAAAACUGGUCAAUAGUCGACAAGAAGAGGUCAGGGAGCUUCGCGUCUUAAAACAAGGAAAAACGCCGACAAAACUAGGCCGUCAAGAACGCUUAGUGAGAGAGGCGCCGACUGCGGGAAAAAGGCCCAAAACGAUAACGACCCCCGCAUUUUAGGGAGUUCGACCGCUUAAGCCGCACAGGUACCUGGUCGGGCUCUCGAGAGAGGGGGUACGGCGCCAGGUCUUCCCCGUCUGGGGUGCGGCGCUCCUCGAGCACGCCGAGUAGCGCGUUAGCGAGAUGAGGGAGCCAAUGGCCUUCCGCCGUCGGUGCGAACUCCGCCUCAGGCCACACGGCGACAUGGGGGGCCUCGUGCUGGCGGAGGACGAGCUGCAUUACAGACCGGCCACCCUGCGCACGCGCCGGUGGUAACUGAGAGAAUGGCCGUAAUGGCUUUCCUUGGCACGCCAACGGCUCAAAAACCACACCUCUCCCGUGAAGGACCUCGACGACCCGUGACCCCUGCGACCAGAUGCGGAACGUUAACUCCACGAGAGCGCAGCCUAGCGGGGAGAACGGUAGCUGUCUUCUACACACGUGACCGACCGUGCGCGUCACCAGUGCAGACUCCCGCGCCAACGUGGUCUCCGACAACGACUUACGUCCUAACCCGAAAAGAACCUAAACCAACUCCGCAACGGCGGUACCAAGGCCCACGGUUCACCCGCCGAACUCGUAAACCACCUCUGGCGCCAAUAAGUCGUCCAACGAAGCACAUAUAUGGUAUUAGACGGCCUACUCCAGUGAGAUAAACUCCUAGUGUUCACGGUACUUCUCGUCUAGGGAAGACUGACAUGUGUCUAUAACACACGAGUAUUUUUGCUUCAAACCAAACAUUCCAAGAGUUUACUACCCUUGAUGGACCGUAGUAGAAGUUCACUAACAUGACGGUAGUAUACCUUCCACCUUCUUCUACUAUGUAAUUGGUUCUUCAUGACGGAGCUCCCAGUGUUUUCAGGAUAAAGAAAACAACGCACCUCGGGUUUACUAUCUUACGAAGAGUGAACACCAUUACCCCUUAGAAAUUUUGACACCUUACAACUAUGACCACUUACGUUAGAAUUUAAACCACGACGUCAUUUUGUGUAGUAGCGCAGUACACGUACCAAAGGUUUAAGUCUCUUUUAUCAUACACGGUCGAGACUUGGACUUUCAAGAGGUUUAUACUAAAAGUGAACACUGGAUCUUCCGGUUCUUGACCUUUACACCCGACCUCUCUCUUAUGGGUUUCAAUCACUAGAACGACACUGUGGACUACCGUUUGUAGAUUAGACACAUACAGGGUUGCUUUAAACCUAGGCUCUUGAAGCCUUCCCCGCCCUUACCUUUUAAGGACUUGCCGUCUGUUAAAGUAGAGAAAGAGAAAGUCCACUACCUGUCAGUUACUAACAGUUGGAAUUAUCAGUCCUUUAAGUAAACACCUUUUGGUUACCUUCAAGAUCUCACGGGCUAUUUAAGUUCCCCGUGUUCGUUCCUUUCAAACACUAAUCUAGUACGAAACCCCCUAGUCUGAUAGUAAAGUAACGAUCGCCGUCACUCCUAAGUGUCCACAUGUAAACCGUUUCUACGUACCUCUACGGCUAUUUCCAGGAUAUACCCGUGAGUUACUGACAUUUAACACAUUCGACCUUGGGACGCUCCGGGGUCUACAACCGAAGGCGUUCGCUACUGGCAUGUCAAGCGUAUACCGAUCGCGCGUUUCGAGUGUCAAACUGAACUUUUCAAAACAUACAAAAGGGACAUUUAUCAACAUGUAAAACUGACAUACGUGUUUGAUCAACCCCUAGGAAAAGGGAGCAUUUCUCGAAAAUCGAUGAACUCUCUCCAUUUGAAAUUCGUCGGUCUCUAUCGUCCUAUGCCCAUUCAAAAAAAAAAACUUGCCUGGUCGACUACCGACCGUAUAUAACUAUAGUUUUCGUCCCUCGUCCGCCUUUUUUGUGUUCCACCACAAGCUAGACCGCUAGUUCCUCAUUUUUCUCUUCUAUUUUCUCUCAUCUGUUUUUUAGAUCGGCCCCGAUCUUUUUGUCGUCCAACCAGAGAGUACCUCCUAGGGUCUUUCCCACGAGCUCCACCCAACGAGGACGAACCGCGGUGUUGAGUUUCCAGGAACACUACGAACGGUAACAAAGCCAGUCCGAACGUUAGAAAACGGCCUUUCACGUAAGCAAAGAGGUGACGGUUUACAGUGGUUCGUGGUCUUACUAGUAACAGAACUGAGGAAAGAACACAAGUCGAGAACGAGGUAGCUAGUAGAGCCACUACUAAAGGUGGCGAAACGAGAAGACGACGGUCAAGCUCCCCACGUACCUCGACGUAGGGAACCCGUCAAGAACGGGUCUGACGGCUACUUUUACCCGUGACGGUCUUUUCCACAACGCUCCAGAGCUCCAAAGACUCUGUUUCAACUGUCUUCAUGAGUAAACCGGUCGGAGCAGAGACUUCUGCCAGUAACGUGGUAUUAGACAAAAACUCGUCGUCGGUCUGGCAUUUAAACUCGGCCCGGCCACGGGUCUGAACCGUCUCGUCUAAAGACUUCAAUCAGAACUCGU
Molecule: ribosomal RNA, 2827 nt
Filed under: Triticum aestivum (bread wheat)
Lineage: Eukaryota; Viridiplantae; Streptophyta; Magnoliopsida; Poales; Poaceae
Description: partial small subunit ribosomal RNA
Source: RNAcentral